RNAcentral lists this long non-coding RNA (65 nucleotides) under Chinchilla lanigera (long-tailed chinchilla). RNAcentral describes it as "lncRNA (ENSCLAG00000025329.1)". The record is from RNAcentral. Lineage: Eukaryota; Metazoa; Chordata; Mammalia; Rodentia; Chinchillidae.
AGUGGAUCAGAAAAAGGACAGGACCACAUGGACUCAGGAAGAUAAAAAAGAAACAGGAAUUUCUC